RNAcentral lists this ribosomal RNA (449 nucleotides) under uncultured prokaryote. RNAcentral's name for it is "bacterial SSU rRNA". It matches the Rfam family "Bacterial small subunit ribosomal RNA", at positions 355 to 796 of the family's 1533-position model. The record is from RNAcentral.
UGGGGAAUAUUGGACAAUGGGCGCAAGCCUGAUCCAGCAAUGCCGCGUGUGUGAAGAAGGCCUUAGGGUUGUAAAGCACUUUCAGUGGGGAAGAAAAGCAAGGCGUUAAUACCGCCAUGUCAUGACGUUACCCACAGAAGAAGCACCGGCUAACUCCGUGCCAGCAGCCGCGGUAAUACGGAGGGUGCGAGCGUUAAUCGGAAUUACUGGGCGUAAAGGGCGCGUAGGUGGUUUGGUAAGUCGGAUGUGAAAGCCCCGGGCUUAACUUGGGAAUUGCAUUCGAUACUGCCUCACUUGAGUAUGGUAGAGGGAAGCGGAAUUCCGGGUGUAGCGGUGAAAUGCGUAGAUAUCCGGAGGAACAUCAGUGGCGAAGGCGGCUUCCUGGACCAAUACUGACACUGAGGUGCGAAAGCGUGGGGAGCAAACAGGAUUAGAUACCCCCGUAGUCC